GGAAUAUUGGUCAAUGGACGCAAGUCUGAACCAGCCAUGCCGCGUGGAGGAUGAAGGUCCUCUGGAUUGUAAACUUCUUUUAUUUGGGACGAAACACCUCUAUUCUUAGGGGCCUGACGGUACCAGAUGAAUACGCCCCGGCUCACUCCGUGCCAGCAGCCGCGGUAAUACGGAGGGUGCAAGCGUUAUCCGGAUUCACUGGGUUUAAAGGGUGCGUAGGUGGGUAUGUAAGUCAGUGGUGAAAUCCCCGAGCUUAACUUGGGAACUGCCGUUGAUACUAUAUAUCUUGAAUGUCGUAGAGGUAAGCGGAAUAUGUCAUGUAGCGGUGAAAUGCUUAGAGAUGACAUAGAACACCAAUUGCGAAGGCAGCUUACUAUGCGAAUAUUGACACUGAGGCACGAAAGCGUGGGUAGCAAA
This 417-nucleotide ribosomal RNA is filed under the name uncultured bacterium. Its description in RNAcentral is "bacterial SSU rRNA". It matches the Rfam family "Bacterial small subunit ribosomal RNA", at positions 358 to 772 of the family's 1533-position model. The record is from RNAcentral.